GAAAUGCGAUAAGUAAUGUGAAUUGCAGAAUUCAGUGAAUCAUCGAAUCUUUGAACGCACAUUGCGCCCAUUAGUAUUCUAGUGGGCAUGCCUGUUCGAGCGUCAUUUCAACCCUUAAGCCUAGCUUAGUGUUGGGAGCCUACUGCUUUUGCUAGCGGUAGCUCCUGAAAUACAACGGCGGAUCUGCGAUAUCCUCUGAGCGUAGUAAUUUUUAUCUCGCUUUUGACUGGAGUUGCAGCGUCUUUAGCCGCUAAAUCCCCCAAUUUUUAAUGGUUGACCUCGGAUCAGGUAGGAAUACCCGCUGAACUUAA
Molecule: unclassified non-coding RNA, 311 nt
Filed under: uncultured Pestalotiopsis
Lineage: Eukaryota; Fungi; Ascomycota; Sordariomycetes; Amphisphaeriales; Amphisphaeriaceae
Description: sequence contains ITS1
Rfam family: 5.8S ribosomal RNA (bases 1-105)
Source: RNAcentral